RNAcentral lists this ribosomal RNA (626 nucleotides) under uncultured Actinomyces sp. RNAcentral describes it as "bacterial SSU rRNA". It matches the Rfam family "Bacterial small subunit ribosomal RNA", at positions 28 to 643 of the family's 1533-position model. Lineage: Bacteria; Bacillati; Actinomycetota; Actinomycetes; Actinomycetales; Actinomycetaceae. The record is from RNAcentral.
GACGAACGCUGGCGGCGUGCUUAACACAUGCAAGUCGAACGAUGAUGCGGUGCUUGCACCGUUGAUUAGUGGCGAACGGGUGAGUAACACGUGAGUAACCUGCCCUCUUCUUUGGGAUAACGGUCUGAAAGGGCUGCUAAUACUGAAUAUUCACAUGUCUUCGCAUGGGGGUGUGUGGAAAGAGAUGCUUUUGGGUGUUUUUGGUGGGGGAUGGGCUCGCGGCCUAUCAGCUUGUUGGUGGGGUAGUGGCCUACCAAGGCUUUGACGGGUAACCGGCCUGAGAGGGUGACCGGUCACAUUGGGACUGAGAUACGGCCCAGACUCCUACGGGAGGCAGCAGUGGGGAAUUUUGCACAAUGGACGCAAGUCUGAUGCAGCGACGCCGCGUGAGGGAUGUAGGCCUUCGGGUUGUGAACCUCUUUCGCUCAUGGUCAAGCCGCAGCUUUGGGUUGUGGUGAGGGUAGUGGGUAAAGAAGCGCCGGCUAACUACGUGCCAGCAGCCGCGGUGAUACGUAGGGCGCGAGCGUUGUCCGGAAUAUUGGGCAUAAAGGCUUUCUAUCGCCUGCCCCCGUCUGCGAGAAAUCCUUUAGCUUAACUGGGGUUUUUUAUUUGGUUCCGGUUGUCUU